CCUUCGAUAGCUCAGUUGGUAGAGCGGUGGACUGUAGAGCGAAUGUCGAGUGGCAGUUAUCCAUAGGUCGCUGGUUCAAAUCCGGCUCGAAGGA
This is a non-coding RNA of Aedes aegypti (yellow fever mosquito), 94 nucleotides long. Lineage: Eukaryota; Metazoa; Arthropoda; Insecta; Diptera; Culicidae. The record is from Rfam.